CGGGUGAGUAACGCGUGGGUAACCUGCCUCGUACAGGGGGAUAACAGUUAGAAAUGACUGCUAAUACCGCAUAAGCGCACAGUGCUGCAUGGCGCAGUGUGAAAAACUCCGGUGGUAUGAGAUGGACCCGCGUCUGAUUAGCUAGUUGGUGGGGUAACGGCCUACCAAGGCGACGAUCAGUAGCCGGCCUGAGAGGGUGAACGGCCACAUUGGGACUGAGACACGGCCCAA
Molecule: ribosomal RNA, 231 nt
Filed under: uncultured bacterium
Lineage: Bacteria
Description: partial 16S ribosomal RNA
Rfam family: Bacterial small subunit ribosomal RNA
Source: RNAcentral